GUUUGAUCCUGGCUCAGGACGAACGCUGGCGGCGUGCUUAACACAUGCAAGUGGAGCGACGAACCAGGCUUCGGCCUGGGGCAGAGCCGCGAACGGGUGAGUAACACGUGGGUAACCUGCCCUGAUGAUUGGGACAACCCGAGGAAACUCGGGCUAAUACCAAAUGUGCCCUCUGGCCUCAAGGCCUCUGGGGAAAGGAAGCUUCGGCCUCCGCAUCGGGAUGGGCCCGCGGCCCAUUAGCUUGUUGGUGAGGUAAUGGCUCACCAAGGCUACGAUGGGUAGCUGGUCUGAGAGGACGAUCAGCCACACUUGGACUGAGACACGGCCCAGACUCCUACGGGAGGCAGCAGUGGGGAAUCUUGCGCAAUGCGCGAAAGCGUGACGCAGCAACGCCGCGUGGGGGAAGAAGGCCUUCGGGUUGUAAACCCCUUUCAGUUGGGACGAAGCUUCGCCGGUGAACAGCCGGCUGGAGUGACGGUACCUUCAGAAGAAGCCCCGGCUAACUACGUGCCAGCAGCCGCGGUAAUACGUAGGGGGCAAGCGUUGUCCGGAAUCAUUGGGCGUAAAGAGCGUGUAGGCGGCUUGGUAAGUCCGCUGUGAAAGUCCAGGGCUCAACCCUGGAAUGCCGGUGGAAACUGUCAAGCUAGAGUCCGGAAGAGGCGAGUGGAAUUCCUGGUGUAGCGGUGAAAUGCGCAGAUAUCAGGAGGAACACCAAUGGCGAAGGCAGCUCGCUGGGACGGUACUGACGCUGAGACGCGAAAGCGUGGGGAGCAAACAGGAUUAGAUACCCUGGUAGUCCACGCCGUAAACGAUGGGCACUAGGUGUGGGGGGUGUCGACUCCCUCCGUGCCGACGCUAACGCAUUAAGUGCCCCGCCUGGGGAGU
RNAcentral lists this ribosomal RNA (885 nucleotides) under uncultured Actinomycetes bacterium. RNAcentral's name for it is "bacterial SSU rRNA". It matches the Rfam family "Bacterial small subunit ribosomal RNA", at positions 11 to 881 of the family's 1533-position model. Lineage: Bacteria; Bacillati; Actinomycetota; Actinomycetes. The record is from RNAcentral.